Molecule: non-coding RNA, 63 nt
Filed under: unclassified sequences
Description: RAGATH-18 RNA
Rfam family: RAGATH-18 RNA
About the family: Actinobacteria, Firmicutes, Fusobacteria, Thermotogae (1 example).
Source: Rfam by way of RNAcentral
CCUUGGAAGAGUUAUAUCAAACUAGAGUAGAUUUUAUCGAAAUAGGACUUUAUGAAUAAGGAA